CCUACGGGUGGCAGCAGUGGGGAAUAUUGGACAAUGGGGGGAACCCUGAUCCAGCCAUGCCGCGUGUGUGAAGAAGGCCCUCGGGUUGUAAAGCACUUUCAGUGAGGAAGAACGCCUGGUGGUUAAUACCCAUCAGGAAAGACAUCACUCACAGAAGAAGCACCGGCUAACUCUGUGCCAGCAGCCGCGGUAAUACGGAGGGUGCGAGCGUUAAUCGGAAUUACUGGGCGUAAAGCGCGCGUAGGUGGCUUGAUAAGCCGGUUGUGAAAGCCCCGGGCUCAACCUGGGAACGGCAUCCGGAACUGUCAAGCUAGAGUGCAGGAGAGGAAGGUAGAAUUCCCGGUGUAGCGGUGAAAUGCGUAGAGAUCGGGAGGAAUACCAGUGGCGAAGGCGGCCUUCUGGACUGACACUGACACUGAGGUGCGAAAGCGUGGGUAGCAAACAGGAUUAGAUACCCGUGUAGUC
This 465-nucleotide ribosomal RNA is filed under the name Vreelandella stevensii. RNAcentral describes it as "partial 16S ribosomal RNA". It matches the Rfam family "Bacterial small subunit ribosomal RNA", at positions 338 to 795 of the family's 1533-position model. Lineage: Bacteria; Pseudomonadati; Pseudomonadota; Gammaproteobacteria; Oceanospirillales; Halomonadaceae. The record is from RNAcentral.